RNAcentral lists this long non-coding RNA (1605 nucleotides) under Volvox carteri. RNAcentral's name for it is "long non-coding RNA (VCAR_LNC003198)". The record is from RNAcentral. Lineage: Eukaryota; Viridiplantae; Chlorophyta; Chlorophyceae; Chlamydomonadales; Volvocaceae.
CCUUUCGAACAACUAGAAAUGUUAUGAUGUAUCGUUGGUCCGGCGUACGACGGCGCCUGGUGCGAUUUAUGCGCCCGGAAGCCCUUUCAGCCUCCAGGCAUGUCCCCACCUGCCUCACAGCCACCGACGCAUCUCACGGCGGGGUUCUAAUUGCGUGCGCGUAUGGAUGCUCCUAUUCCUGCCGCCUUUCUAGCAACUAGUUAUGUUAUUAUGCAUCGUUGGUCCGGCGUACGACGGCGCCUGGUGCGAUUUAUGCGUCCGGAAGCCCUUUCAGCCUCACAGGCAUGUCCCCACCUGCCUCACAGCCGCUGACGCAUCUCACGGCGGGGGUCUAAUUGCGUGCGCGUAUGGAUGCUCCUAUUCCUGCCGCCUUUCUAACAGCUAGUUACUGUUAUGAUGCAUCGUUGGUCCGGCGUACGACGGCGCCUGGUGCGAUUUAUGCGUCCGGAAGCCCUUUCAGCCUCACAGGCAUGUCCCCACCUGCCUCACAGCCGCCGACGCAUCUCACGGCGGGGGUCUAAUUGCGUGCGCGUAUGGAUGCUCCUAUUCCUGCCGCCUUUCUAGCAACUAGUUAUGUUAUGAUGCAUCGUUGGUCCGGCGUACGACGGCGCCUGGUGCGAUUUAUGCGCCCGGAAGCCCUUUCAGCCUCCAGGCAUGUCCCCACCUGCCUCACAGCCACCGACGCAUCUCACGGCGGGGUUCUAAUUGCGUGCGCGUAUGGAUGCUCCUAUUCCACCGCCUUUCGAACAACUAGAAAUGUUAUGAUGUAUCGUUGGUCCGGCGUACGACGGCGCCUGGUGCGAUUUAUGCGCCCGGAAGCCCUUUCAGCCUCCAGGCAUGUCCCCACCUGCCUCACAGCCACCGACGCAUCUCACGGCGGGGUUCUAAUGAGGUGCGCGUAUGGAUGCUCCUUAACCCACCGCCUUUCGAACAACUAGAAAUGUUAUGAUGUAUCGUUGGUCCGGCGUACGACGGCGCCUGGUGCGAUUUAUGCGCCCGGAAGCCCUUUCAGCCUCCAGGCAUGUCCCCACCUGCCUCACAGCCACCGACGCAUCUCACGGCGGGGUUCUAAUUGCGUGCGCGUAUGGAUGCUCCUAUUCCUGCCGCCUUUCUAGCAACUAGUUAUGUUAUUAUGCAUCGUUGGUCCGGCGUACGACGGCGCCUGGUGCGAUUUAUGCGUCCGGAAGCCCUUUCAGCCUCACAGGCAUGUCCCCACCUGCCUCACAGCCGCUGACGCAUCUCACGGCGGGGGUCUAAUGAGGUGCGCGUAUGGAUGCUCCUAUUCCUGCCGCCUUUCUAACAGCUAGUUACUGUUAUGAUGCAUCGUUGGUCCGGCGUACGACGGCGCCUGGUGCGAUUUAUGCGUCCGGAAGCCCUUUCAGCCUCACAGGCAUGUCCCCACCUGCCUCACAGCCGCCGACGCAUCUCACGGCGGGGGUCUAAUUGCGUGCGCGUAUGGAUGCUCCUAUUCCUGCCGCCUUUCUAGCAACUAGUUAUGUUAUGAUGCAUCGUUGGUCCGGCGUACGACGGCGCCUGGUGCGAUUUAUGCGCCCGGAAGCCCUUUCAGCCUCCAGGCAUGUCCCCACCUGCCUCACAGCCACCGAC